RNAcentral lists this unclassified non-coding RNA (18 nucleotides) under Chlamydomonas reinhardtii. Its description in RNAcentral is "small RNA Cre_1377". The record is from RNAcentral. Lineage: Eukaryota; Viridiplantae; Chlorophyta; Chlorophyceae; Chlamydomonadales; Chlamydomonadaceae.
CGUCAAGACAGCGGGUGA